This 468-nucleotide ribosomal RNA is filed under the name uncultured bacterium. RNAcentral's name for it is "partial 16S ribosomal RNA". It matches the Rfam family "Bacterial small subunit ribosomal RNA", at positions 28 to 507 of the family's 1533-position model. The record is from RNAcentral.
GAUGAACGCUGGCGGCGCGCCUAACACAUGCAAGUCGAACGGUUAAAGCACGUUCGGGUGUGUAUAAAGUGGGGAACGGCUGAGUAACACGUGGGCAAACUGCCCCCUUCACUGGGGUAGCAACGGGAAACAGUGGAGAAUAUAGCAUACUUCGGCUCUUGCGCAUGGAUGACUGGAGGAAGCUUUCGGCGGUUGGGGUUGGACUCGCGGCUUGUCAGCUGGUUGGUGGGGUAGUGGCUUACCAAGGCAUUGAGGGGUAGCUGGCUUGAGAGGGCGACCGGCCAGAUUGGGACUGAGACACGGCCCAGACUCCUACGGGAGGCAGCAGUGGGGAAUCUUGCACAAUGGGCGGAAGCCUGAUGCAGCGACGCCGCGUGCGGGAUGAAGGCCUUCGGGUUGUAAACCGCUUUCAGCAGGGACGAGGCGAAAGUGACGGUACCUGCAGAAGAAGCCCCGGCUAACUACGUG